This 165-nucleotide ribosomal RNA is filed under the name Triticum aestivum (bread wheat). RNAcentral describes it as "partial small subunit ribosomal RNA". Lineage: Eukaryota; Viridiplantae; Streptophyta; Magnoliopsida; Poales; Poaceae. The record is from RNAcentral.
CCAAGCGGAUCUCAUCCUGCAGAAGACUCAGAGCGGAUCUAUCUAAUGGCAUGGCUGGCUGGCGGAUGUGAUCUAUUCUCGUGUCACAUCGCUUUCUUUCUUCUCCCUCCAUUUUCUUCACUACUACCGCUUCUACACAUAAAUCAAAGAAGCAUUGUGGAAUAG